This 626-nucleotide ribosomal RNA is filed under the name uncultured bacterium. RNAcentral describes it as "bacterial SSU rRNA". It matches the Rfam family "Bacterial small subunit ribosomal RNA", at positions 35 to 694 of the family's 1533-position model. The record is from RNAcentral.
GCUGGCGGCGCGCUUACACAUGCAAGUCGAGCGAGAAAGUGGAGCAAUCCAUGAGUAAAGCGGCGUACGGGUGAGUAACACGUGGGUAAUCUACCUCUUAGUGGGGAAUAACCCUGGGAAACCGGGGCUAAUACCGCAUAAGCCUGAGAAGGGAAAGCAGCAAUGCGCUGAGAGAGGAGCCCGCGGCCGAUUAGCUAGUUGGUGAGGUAAUGGCUCACCAAGGCGACGAUCGGUAGCCGGCCUGAGAGGGCACACGGCCACACUGGCACUGAAACACGGGCCAGACUCCUACGGGAGGCAGCAGUGGGGAAUCUUGCACAAUGGAGGAAACUCUGAUGCAGCGACGCCGCGUGAGCGAUGAAGCCCUUCGGGGUGUAAAGCUCUUUCGGCAGGAACGAUUAUGACGGUACCUGCAGAAGAAGCUGCGGCUAACUACGUGCCAGCAGCCGCGGUAAUACGUAGGCAGCGAGCGUUGUUCGGAAUUACUGGGCGUAAAGAGUGUGUAGGCGGUGCUCUAAGUUCGGUGUGAAAUCUCCUGGCUUAACUGGGAGGGUGCGCCGGAAACUGGAGUGCUCGAACGUGGGAGAGGAAAGCGGAAUUCCUGGUGUAGCGGUGAAAUGCGUAGA